UGAUAAGUGGCUUAGCCAUAAAAUUUAAAAUAGAGUCCAUGAAGGUCCAUGAUGUGUGUGUUGGGAAUAGUGUCCCAAAGCCAAUCGUCAGCCUGUUGACGGUUGUGCUCUUUUUUGUAUUAGUACAUGAAUUAUAAAUAAAUAAAAGUUAUUUUGGUAUUUUUUUCAUCACAAAUGUUUCAUCUUCUAAUGAACUCCUGUGUUGUGGUGAAGUCCUUAGGACUAUUUAGACUCGACAAAGGAGGAUUUGUCGCUUAGUCCUUAAACAUGUUCGCGACCAAAUGAAACGUUGUUACCA
RNAcentral lists this long non-coding RNA (298 nucleotides) under Elaeis guineensis (African oil palm). RNAcentral describes it as "long non-coding RNA (EGUI_LNC059494)". Lineage: Eukaryota; Viridiplantae; Streptophyta; Magnoliopsida; Arecales; Arecaceae. The record is from RNAcentral.